Molecule: ribosomal RNA, 303 nt
Filed under: uncultured bacterium
Lineage: Bacteria
Description: bacterial SSU rRNA
Rfam family: Bacterial small subunit ribosomal RNA
Source: RNAcentral
UGGGGGAUAUUGCACAAUGGGGGGAACCCUGAUGCAGCGACGCCGCGUGGGUGAAGGAGUGCUUCGGCAUGUAAAGCCCUAUCGGCAGGGAAGAAUAUGACGGUACCUGACUAAGAAGCCCCGGCUAACUACGUGCCAGCAGCCGCGGUAAUACGUAGGGGGCGAGCGUUAUCCGGAUUCACUGGGUGUAAAGGGAGCGUAGACGGCCAAGCAAGCCAGGGGUGAAAGCCCGGGGCCCAACCCCGGGACUGCCCUUGGAACUGCAUGGCUGGAGUGCGGGAGGGGCAGGCGGAAUUCCUGGUG